RNAcentral lists this ribosomal RNA (1372 nucleotides) under uncultured bacterium. RNAcentral's name for it is "bacterial SSU rRNA". It matches the Rfam family "Bacterial small subunit ribosomal RNA", at positions 28 to 1381 of the family's 1533-position model. The record is from RNAcentral.
GAUGAACGCUGGCGGCGUGCCUAAUACAUGCAAGUCGAGCGAACGGACGAGAAGCUUGCUUUUCUGAUGUUAGCGGCGGACGGGUGAGUAACACGUGGAUAACCUACCUAUAAGACUGGGAUAACUUCGGGAAACCGGAGCUAAUACCGGAUAAUAUUUUGAACCGCAUGGUUCAAAAGUGAAAGACGGUCUUGCUGUCACUUAUAGAUGGAUCCGCGCUGCAUUAGCUAGUUGGUAAGGUAACGGCUUACCAAGGCAACGAUGCAUAGCCGACCUGAGAGGGUGAUCGGCCACACUGGAACUGAGACACGGUCCAGACUCCUACGGGAGGCAGCAGUAGGGAAUCUUCCGCAAUGGGCGAAAGCCUGACGGAGCAACGCCGCGUGAGUGAUGAAGGUCUUCGGAUCGUAAAACUCUGUUAUUAGGGAAGAACAUAUGUGUAAGUAACUGUGCACAUCUUGACGGUACCUAAUCAGAAAGCCACGGCUAACUACGUGCCAGCAGCCGCGGUAAUACGUAGGUGGCAAGCGUUAUCCGGGAUUAUUGGGCGUAAAGCGCGCGUAGGCGGUUUUUUAAGUCUGAUGUGAAAGCCCACGGCUCAACCGUGGAGGGUCAUUGGAAACUGGAAAACUUGAGUGCAGAAGAGGAAAGUGGAAUUCCAUGUGUAGCGGUGAAAUGCGCAGAGAUGUGGAGGAACACCAGUGGCGAAGGCGACUUUCUGGUCUGUAACUGACGCUGAUGUGCGAAAGCGUGGGGAUCAAACAGGAUUAGAUACCCUGGUAGUCCACGCCGUAAACGAUGAGUGCUAAGUGUUAGGGGGUUUCCGCCCCUUAGUGCUGCAGCUAACGCAUUAAGCACUCCGCCUGGGGAGUACGACCGCAAGGUUGAAACUCAAAGGAAUUGACGGGGGCCCGCACAAGCGGUGGAGCAUGUGGUUUAAUUCGAAGCAACGCGAAGAACCUUACCAAAUCUUGACAUCCUUUGACAACUCUAGAGAUAGAGCCUUCCCCUUCGGGGGACAAAGUGACAGGUGGUGCAUGGUUGUCGUCAGCUCGUGUCGUGAGAUGUUGGGUUAAGUCCCGCAACGAGCGCAACCCUUAAGCUUAGUUGCCAUCAUUAAGUUGGGCACUCUAAGUUGACUGCCGGUGACAAACCGGAGGAAGGUGGGGAUGACGUCAAAUCAUCAUGCCCCUUAUGAUUUGGGCUACACACGUGCUACAAUGGACAAUACAAAGGGCAGCGAAACCGCGAGGUCAAGCAAAUCCCAUAAAGUUGUUCUCAGUUCGGAUUGUAGUCUGCAACUCGACUACAUGAAGCUGGAAUCGCUAGUAAUCGUAGAUCAGCAUGCUACGGUGAAUACGUUCCCGGGUCU